Molecule: ribosomal RNA, 478 nt
Filed under: Dictyocoela sp.
Lineage: Eukaryota; Fungi; Microsporidia
Description: partial small subunit ribosomal RNA
Rfam family: Microsporidia small subunit ribosomal RNA
Source: RNAcentral
GUAGUCAAGCUGACUGACUGACCUGCAAUGUGAUUGAUUAAAGAACGAGCAGGGUUAGGAAAGCAGAGAAUUUAGGAGCGACCGAGGGCUAGAGUAUUGAAUGGCGAGAGGUGAAAUUUGAUGACCCAUUCAGGAGUGACAAAGGCGAAGGCACUAGUCAAGGGCGAAUCCGAUGAUCAAGGACGUAGGCUAGAGUUUCGAAAACGAUUAGAAACCGGAGUAGUUCUAGCAGUAAACUAUGCCGACGCCGUGAUAUUGUUUUUUGUGGCGGUAUUGCGGAAGAGAAAUCAAGUAGGGCUUUGGGGAGAGUACGCGCGCAAGCGAUAAAUUUAAAGGAAAUUGACGGAGGAACACCACAAGGAGUGGAGUGUGCGGCUUAAUUUGACUCAACGCGGGACAGCUUACCAGGCCCGAUAAUCGAGCGAGCGUAGUACGCGAUAGAUUAAAGAGUGGUGCAUGGCUGCUAUCGACAGUUGGG